Molecule: ribosomal RNA, 253 nt
Filed under: uncultured bacterium
Lineage: Bacteria
Description: partial 16S ribosomal RNA
Rfam family: Bacterial small subunit ribosomal RNA
Source: RNAcentral
UACAGAGGUCCCAAGCGUUGUUCGGAUUCACUGGGCGUAAAGGGUGCGUAGGUGGCCAGGUAAGUUUGAUGUGAAAUCUCCGGGCUUAACCCGGAAAGUGCAUUGAAUACUAUCUGGCUAGAGGGUUGGAGGGGGGACUGGAAUUCUCGGUGUAGCAGUGAAAUGCGUAGAUAUCGAGAGGAACACCAGUGGCGAAGGCGAGUCCCUGGACAACUCCUGACACUGAGGCACGAAAGCUAGGGGAGCAAACAGG